Long non-coding RNA from Dioscorea cayenensis subsp. rotundata (Guinea yam), 494 nucleotides. RefSeq lists it as uncharacterized. Lineage: Eukaryota; Viridiplantae; Streptophyta; Magnoliopsida; Dioscoreales; Dioscoreaceae. The record is from RefSeq and is a predicted model, not a curated record. The transcript is spliced from 4 exons.
UGAAGGACCAUUCUGUUAAUGUUAAAUGCUAUAGUUUUUUAUCUUUACUGAUUUUCGAGUGCCAGCGCAUCACCUGCUCUUCCUGAUUGAUGCCAACAAUAUCCAUGGCAUUUCUGGUCUCCAGAAAUCCGGAAUGUUAAUUACCUCAUGUGGAGCUGAGCAGAGCAUGUAGAAGCAAUGAUAAUUCCGCUCUGGAUCAGACACCUGACAAACACGCGACCGCUCCAGAAGGGGGAAUAAAUUGAUUAACCAAACCAUACAUAUAUCUCAUUCAAAGCGAAACGAGAAGCAAGAUUUUGAAGAACUCCGGGUUCAUGAAGAUAAGCCAGUUUAGUCAUGUCAUCAACACCAGCCGGAGGAGCUUCCGUGUCCUUUGGGUAAAUACUCGACAGGCUCGCCACAAUCUGUUCUUCCCAUUGGUGGUGAUGAUGGUGGCGUCACCGGCUUUGAUCUGGGUGACCUCUCCAUCGAUCCAAGCAAGCUCAGGAUCUUCG